Schistocerca gregaria is the source of this 475-nucleotide long non-coding RNA. RefSeq lists it as uncharacterized. The record is from RefSeq and is a predicted model, not a curated record. The transcript has 2 exons. Lineage: Eukaryota; Metazoa; Arthropoda; Insecta; Orthoptera; Acrididae.
CUACAAACAUCAAAAUUUGCACAUGUCGCAUGUAUCCACCUUAACUUUCGUACUAUUAUAAAAUGUGACUAUUUCGGGCUUCGCCUUCACACCAGAUCCCAGCACCCAACGUGACUACCUUUCCCGGUCUCAACUCACGAGGCAGGCAUUCAGAUGCCUCACUGAAAGUGUCUCCAGCAGAGUUCAGGCCUUCAUAAAGAUGAAGAGUGAAACACAAUAUAUUAAUGUCCACUAAUGGAAGAUUGUAUUUUCUGAUCGGAUAGAGUACAAAUACUUGAAUGAAACAACUUAUUGGGAUUGUAAUGUAAUGUUUAUUAGAUCUGUAAAAAACAUACAUUGUUUGAUUCAAUUGAAAUUUUUAUCCCUAUAAUGGAAAAACAUAAAUAUUCCUAAUAAUUAACAUUUAGCACAUUAUAAUUGUACACAUCAACACUCUAGGCCUAUACCAUAUUAAAUCAGAGGUCUACUUACAUAA